Molecule: long non-coding RNA, 525 nt
Organism: Nomascus leucogenys (northern white-cheeked gibbon)
Lineage: Eukaryota; Metazoa; Chordata; Mammalia; Primates; Hylobatidae
Source: RefSeq, a predicted model, not a curated record
GUAGCAAGAAACACUUGCCAGGAAACAGAAGAUGCUGGAGAGCAGAUCUGAUUCUAGCGUGACCCAGAAGAGGGCUAAAAACAGAGCCUGGAAAACUGGACCAAGUUUCGAUUGAUCUCAGCGACUGACCGGCAGCCUAAAAGAACAAUGUGGUUACAAGCUCAUUUUUCUCAAACACCAGCAACUCACCUCAUCAUGGGCAAGGCCCCAUAGGAUUGGUCUCCCAAGAAAAAUGCACUUAGCUCCAAGGGCCAGAGCCUUCAGCACAUCAUUGCCAGUUCGGACCCCGCCAUCCAGGGUGGCACAACUACAAAGCCUCUCCACUGCAAAGGCAAAGACAAGUACACUUGGCCAUGGCCUGCAUGUCUGGAUUGCAUCCUGACUUGGGAAACUGGGCUGAACAUUAUUUCUCAUGCACCACUUGACCAACUUGUCCCUGACUCCCUCAUGGCGUAUCUGAGAAAAUGAGAUAGGACUAAAGUACAACAUGGUAAAACUAAAGUUUGAGCCUUUGAUAGACAAAAU